This 26-nucleotide non-coding RNA is filed under the name Mus musculus (house mouse). RNAcentral also lists the same sequence under 1 other name. The record is from RNAcentral. Lineage: Eukaryota; Metazoa; Chordata; Mammalia; Rodentia; Muridae.
UAAUAAAGUUGAGCCAGAGAGAAAGG